This 305-nucleotide ribosomal RNA is filed under the name uncultured bacterium. RNAcentral describes it as "bacterial SSU rRNA". It matches the Rfam family "Bacterial small subunit ribosomal RNA", at positions 335 to 659 of the family's 1533-position model. The record is from RNAcentral.
UACCUACGGGAGGCAGCAGUGGGGAAUAUUGCACAAUGGGGGGAACCCUGAUGCAGCGAUGCCGCGUGGAGGAAGAAGGUUUUCGGAUUGUAAACUCCUUUUAUCAGGGACGAUAAUGACGGUACCUGAAGAAAAAGCUCCGGCUAACUACGUGCCAGCAGCCGCGGUAAUACGUAGGGGGCAAGCGUUAUCCGGAUUCAUUGGGCGUAAAGCGCGCGCAGGCGGGCCGCUAAGCGGGACCUCUAAUCUUGGGGCUCAACCUCAAGCCGGGUCCCGAACUGGCAGCCUCGAGUGCGGUAGGGGUA